UGCGGCCCCCCCACACCCCACCAGUCCUUUUCGGGACCCUUCCCCCGGACCCCCCCCUCGCAUUUCCAUCAUUCCCAGUAUGGCUGAACUGGUUGGGUUUCUGAUUCCGACGAGGCCCCCCCCAAACGGGCCCCCCCCCCCAAAAUGGGUCCCAAGAGGAAGAGGAGGGAGGAAGCGGAGCUGAGCAAGCUCUCCCCUCAGCCUCCUCCUCCUGCCCCCCUAGCUCCAGCUGCCCCUCGGCGGGGGCCGGGGGGGCGGCCGGAACCCCCCGCCCCCUCCACAACCCGCCUCCUUUUUUUUUUUACUGGUGGCCCCCCCACUUCCUCCCCCCGCCCGCGGUCUGGGGGCCGGUCUGGGCGGCUCAGGUCUACGGGGUGGCUUCCCUCUUCGCUCUGAUGGCCCUGCUGGGCUUGCUGGUUUUGCUGGGCAGUCACCAGCGCCGCUUCCUGGGGGGGCUCCUGAUGGUGGCGGGGGUCUCCCGAGCCGCCCCCCCGUUGUUUUUAGACCAAAACUUGUCCCCCCCCCUCGCUCACCUCCUCUUCGAGCUGCCCUUUCCCUGCUUGGGGUGGGGGCUGGUGAUCGCUUUGACCCCUCCCCCCAAUUACCCCAGUCCCUUGCUGCUGGUUUUGAUGGUUUUACAUCUGGGGGGGGCCGUCGGGGUGG
Dryobates pubescens (Downy woodpecker) is the source of this 663-nucleotide long non-coding RNA. RefSeq lists it as uncharacterized. The record is from RefSeq and is a predicted model, not a curated record. The transcript has 3 exons. Lineage: Eukaryota; Metazoa; Chordata; Aves; Piciformes; Picidae.